RNAcentral lists this ribosomal RNA (388 nucleotides) under uncultured eukaryote. RNAcentral's name for it is "partial 18S ribosomal RNA". It matches the Rfam family "Eukaryotic small subunit ribosomal RNA", at positions 592 to 976 of the family's 1831-position model. The record is from RNAcentral.
CAAGAGCGUAUAUUAAAGUUGUUGCAGUUAAAAAGCUCGUAGUUGGAUUUCUGGUACAAUGCGCCUGGCCCGCGACGGUUACGUCUGUGAGUGCCGGUGCGCGUUUGCCAUCCUUCUAGAGAACGUUUCUACCCUUUACUGGGCCGGACUCGCGAUCUAGAUCUUUUACUUUGAAAAAAUUAGAGUGUUCAAAGCAGGCUGUUGCUGUGCAUACAUUAGCAUGGAAUAAUAAUCUAGGACUUCGGUUCUAUUUUGUUGGUUUCUAGAUCUGAAGUAAUGAUUGAUAGGGAUAGUUGGGGGUGCUAGUAUUGGCCGGCCAGAGGUGAAAUUCUUGGAUUCGGUCAAGACUAACUUAUGCGAAAGCAUUCACCAAGGAUGUCUUCUUUAA